GUCUCCUCGGGGACAUGUGAUAAAAUUGAAACAAUAUAGAGAAGUUUAAUAUGGCCCCUGUGUAAGGAUGACACACGCAAAUUUGGAAAGAAAGAAAAAGAUAUUU
RNAcentral lists this small nuclear RNA (106 nucleotides) under Triticum urartu. Lineage: Eukaryota; Viridiplantae; Streptophyta; Magnoliopsida; Poales; Poaceae. The record is from RNAcentral.